UAAGGCGCACGGCUCAGCAACACGUAGUCAACCUACCCUGGAGACGCGGACAAAUGCGGGAAACUGCGGCUAAUACGCGAUAGGCGAUGCCAUCUGGAAGGAGGCAUCUCCCAAAGGGUGGUGCGGGUAUGUUCCGCAUCAGCGCUCCAGGAUGGGACUGCGGCCGAUCAGGCUGUUGGCGGGGUAAUGGCCCACCAAACCUGUAACCGGUACGGGCUUUGAGAGAAGGAUUUCCGAGAUGGACACUGAGACAAGGGUCCAGACCCUACGGGGCGCAUCAGGCGCGGAAACUUCGCAAUGCGCGAAAGCGUGACGAGGCUAAUCCGAGUGCUGUCCGCUGAGGAUAGCUUUUCUUGGCUGUAAAUAGGCCGGGGAAUAAGGGGAGGGCAAGUCUGGUGUCAGCCGCCGCGGUAAUACCAGCUCCUCGAGUGGUCGGGACGAUUAUUGGGCCUAAAGCACCCGUAGCCGGUUCAGUAAGUCCUCUGUUAAAUCCAACCGCCCAACGGUUGAGCUGCAGAGGAUACUGCUGGACUAGGAGGCGGGAGAGGCGGACGGUACUCCGCGGGUAGGGGUAAAAUCCUUUGAUCCGCGGAAGACCACCAGUGGCGAAGGCGGUCCGCCAGAACGCGCUCGACGGUGAGGGGUGAAAGCUGGGGGAGCGAACCGGAUUAGAUACCCGGGUAGUCCCAGCCGUAAACGAUGCGAGCUAGAUGAUUCAAUCGCAGUUCGCGAUUGAAGUGUCGCAGGGAAGCCGUUAAGCUCGCCGCCUGGGGGCUGGCUGAACUUAAACGCA
RNAcentral lists this ribosomal RNA (793 nucleotides) under uncultured soil archaeon. Its description in RNAcentral is "bacterial SSU rRNA". It matches the Rfam family "Archaeal small subunit ribosomal RNA", at positions 77 to 864 of the family's 1478-position model. The record is from RNAcentral.